CCUGCGCUCCACGCCUCCAUUUUUGGCUGUCAGAUCACCAGAAAAUCAAUAAAAGUAACUGCGGGUCCCGGGGGCUUCCCCGAGCUUGCUGGGCCUUCUCCCCGGGCCGCAGGGAGAGCAGGAGGGGAGACCUGGACCGGCCCCCAACUGCGCUUCUGUCCUGCCCAAGCUGGGGGAGCAUCCGGAGCCCCCAAACAGCAAAGCAGCCCUACGUGGACGCUCUCCGCUGGGACUCUCCCGGCCUCCCGAACCCACUCCCAUCUGCAUGGACCAGAAUCUUCUCGAAGGCUGGCAGCCCUUCUGCUACAGCUCCAAGUCUUGGAUCUUACACAGCCAAGCAAUGUGAUUGCUGGGGCUAUAGAAGGACGCAGACAUUUGGAUGACUCUUCUGUGCUUCGCCCUGCCACCAGAGAGCCAGGGAAACACAAGGUGGGGGCCCUACCUCCAGGAAACUUGGGAAGCACGCUUUUGCUGAGAAGACAAAACCCAGACCCAGGAGUCACCUUGGGAAGAAGACAAUAAGCAGCACCCCCAGCACCUUGCAUGUGAAGGAACUGCCAUCCCAGCCCCCC
Molecule: long non-coding RNA, 572 nt
Organism: Ailuropoda melanoleuca (giant panda)
Lineage: Eukaryota; Metazoa; Chordata; Mammalia; Carnivora; Ursidae
Exons: 4
Source: RefSeq, a predicted model, not a curated record